Molecule: ribosomal RNA, 216 nt
Filed under: Glomeromycotina sp.
Lineage: Eukaryota; Fungi; Glomeromycota
Description: partial small subunit ribosomal RNA
Rfam family: Eukaryotic small subunit ribosomal RNA (bases 40-216)
Source: RNAcentral
GGGUCAGGAGGUUGGUCGUGCCACCGGUACGUACUGGUCUCACUGAUUCCUCCUUCCUGAAGAACCGUAAUGCCAUUAAUUUGGUGUUGCGGGGAAACAGGACUGUUACUUUGAAAAAAUUAGAGUGUUUAAAGCAAGCUAACGCUUGAAUACAUAAGCAUGGAAUAAUGAAAUAGGACGAUCGAUCCUAUUUUGUUGGUUUCUAGGAUUGGCGUA